CGAUAAAAGUGACGGAGCGACGUAGUUGCUAGGUACUGACGGAAUAGUACGUUGAGCAUAGCCUUCGGGCGAAGCGAAGCAAUGAAAUUACUUCCAAGAAAAGCGAGUAUAGAGUCCCGUACCGCAAACCGACACAGGUAGUCAAGGAGAGAAUCCUGAGGCGCUCGAGUGAUCCGUGGCUAAGGAACUAGGCAAAAUCACCCCGUAACUUCGGGAGAAGGGGACCCCGGUGCAAACCGGGGCGCAGAGAAAUGGCCCAGGCGACUGUUUAUCAAAAACACAGGGCUAUGCUAAAUCGAAAGAUGACGUAUAUGGCCUGACACCUGCCCGGUGCUGGAAGGUUAAGAGGGGAUGUUAUUCGCAAGAAGAAGCAUUGAAUUGAAGCCCCAGUAAACGGCGGCCGUAACAAUAACGGUCCUAAGGUAGCGAAAUUCCUUGUCGGGUAAGUUCCGACCUGCACGAAUGGUGUAACGAUCUGGGCACUGUCUCAGCCACGAGCUCGGUGAAAUUGUAGUAGCGGUGAAGAUGCCGCUUACCCGCAACGGGAC
This 548-nucleotide ribosomal RNA is filed under the name uncultured bacterium. RNAcentral describes it as "bacterial LSU rRNA". It matches the Rfam family "Bacterial large subunit ribosomal RNA", at positions 1458 to 2081 of the family's 2925-position model. The record is from RNAcentral.